AGUGGGAUAGCUGAGUCAGAUGGUGGUUCCAUUCCUAAAUUUCUGAGGAAUCUCCAUACUGCUUUUCAGAUUGGUUGCAACAAUUUGCAGCCCCACAAGCAAU
Molecule: microRNA precursor, 103 nt
Filed under: Marmota monax (woodchuck)
Lineage: Eukaryota; Metazoa; Chordata; Mammalia; Rodentia; Sciuridae
Source: RNAcentral